AUCUUGGGAAAUUUCAUCGUGAUGGGGAUAGAUCAUUGCAAUUGUUGGUCUUCAACGAGGAAUGCCUAGUAAGCGCGAGUCAUCAGCUCGCGUUGACUACGUCCCUGCCCUUUGUACACACCGCCCGUCGCUCCUACCGAUUGAAUGGUCCGGUGAAGUGUUCGGAUCGCGGCGACGGGGGCGGUUCGCCGCCCCCGACGUCAUGAGAAGUCCAUUGAACCUUAUCAUUUAGAGGAAGGAGAAGUCGUAACAAGGUUUCCGUAGGUGAACCUGCGGAAGGAUCAUUG
RNAcentral lists this ribosomal RNA (287 nucleotides) under Anthoxanthum odoratum. RNAcentral describes it as "partial 18S ribosomal RNA". It matches the Rfam family "Eukaryotic small subunit ribosomal RNA", at positions 1549 to 1831 of the family's 1831-position model. The record is from RNAcentral. Lineage: Eukaryota; Viridiplantae; Streptophyta; Magnoliopsida; Poales; Poaceae.